Molecule: long non-coding RNA, 2143 nt
Organism: Poecile atricapillus (Black-capped chickadee)
Lineage: Eukaryota; Metazoa; Chordata; Aves; Passeriformes; Paridae
Exons: 3
Source: RefSeq, a predicted model, not a curated record
CAAUAUUUGCUUUGGUGCUGUGUGCAUAUAAUAAUGAGGUGUACCAGCCUGCCUGAAUAUAAAUGGCGUGAGAUGUAUGGGACACCUGUUGUAUUGUGGAGUUGUAAUUAAUAACCAGAAGGCUAUUCCUGAACACUAAGUUGGGAAAGAAAUGCAGACCACAGAAAAUAAAGCUGAAAGAUGUCACUGCUUCAUGGAGAACAGAACUGAGUGGUGUCAGUACCAGGCAGGUAAGUUGUGAAAACAGCUGAGAACAAAGUGAGCUGAACUUCACUUUUAAUGUCCACCAAGAAAGAAGAGGAUAAAAAAGAGGAGGGAAGAGUUUAUGCUCCAUGUUUCUUUCUGUUGAAAGUGUGUUUAGAAAUAGUGUUAACAUUAGUUAAUACAAUACAAUAGUAUUAACAUUAGCAUUUCUGAGACAGAGAUAUGCUACUCCAGGACGUCACUUCUUUAUUUCUUUUUUUUUUUUUUUUUAAUGUUUAAGAGCCUACCUUUUGGAAAUAAUGCAAUAGAUAUGACCAAAACUUUACUGAUUUAAACUAAAAUGUAUUCACAACAAAAUUUUAUGGGCAAAUGAAUAAAUAUCAAUGGUGGUGCUUUAUAAUAAAAUAAGCAACGAUUCAGGUUGAAAAAAUUUUCUCAGAUUUUAUGUAUAUGUAUGUGUGUGUUCAUUUUGGUAAUGUUCUUCUGCUUUUUGAAUAGUAGGCUUUUUAAAAAUGAUUGUGGAGUAAUUAGUGUCCCUUUCUUCUCAUAUCCUUGCCAUUCUAGAAAAUACAGUAAUAAUUUAUUCUCAAGAUAGCUGGAUAUUUUAAUUCUUAGUACUUCUCCAGUGCUUGAAGAUACUUUGGACAGAUAUUUCUCCACUUAAUUUAUUCAGUGAAAAUGUGAUUUAAGGCUGGAGAAGUUAAUUCUUCAAUCACUUAUUGCUGAAAGGUCAUUUGAUUAACACCACAUUAUGCUUGUUAACUGUCAGUGUAAAACUGACAUCAUUACCUAGACAUGCAAAUUGGAAGAUAGAUAUUAUAAGAAUAUCCUCUGUUCAAUUAGCAGCACACACAUGGCUAGAGCUGCUUUUGCAGACCUCCAGAUUUUAAUGACUAGAACAAUGAAAUGAGCAGAGACGACUACAUCAUUACUUGUUGCUAAUGUUUGCAACAAAGAGAAGAAUAUAUUUUCUCUUUUAAAAGGUUAACGAUAAGAAAAACACCUUGUUAUUCCUUUUUUUUUUCUGUUAUCUAAGCAAGUACAUUCUUUAUUGCAUUUGGAUGAUAUUCCUAAAGGAAUUAAUGUUAAGCAUCUAGAUACUGUUUUAUAUUUGCAUCUAAGACCAGGCUUUGUAUAUUCCAGUAUCACUGUAAACUAACAAAUACUGUUUUUUUCCAUUUCAAGGUUUUGGAUGAAAUGGUUACUAAAGUAAGUAUGUAAGAAGAGUCUUCAGUUCUGUGUUUUCAUCCUCUUUUUUUUUUUUGUUUUUUUUUUUUUGUUUUUAAUUUGUCUCUGUCUUGAUUUGGAAGACAGGUGUCUGCUAGGGAGGGCAGGAGCCUUCCUUGGAAUGAAAAAUGUAGACCCCCUCCAUAUGAAUUACUAUAAUUUUGAAACCAAGGGGCUCUCAGGCAGAGAUCUGGGGAUAGGAAUAACAGUUCUUUAUUAAUAUUUAUAACAAGGUAUGGGAAGCUAGGGCCUGGCGUUCGGAAGACAUCGGGAUGUAAUGGAAAGACAGAGUCACCCCCCUCCUCCAGAGUGUAUGGUAAUUGCCCCGUAAUUAGCCAAUAGCACCUAGCUGUGAUGAAAGCAAACGGGAGUUACACUGUGAACCUAGGUUAUAAAGUGUCAAAUUCUCCAGCAAUAAACACCAUUUCUGCCAUCCAUCACGUUGAUGUUGUGCGUGGGUUUGGACCGAGUGACCAGAGUGAGGUCACCAUGCUGCUCCUGAACCAGGGUGUCUGCCUUGCUGAAGGCAACGAGGCAAACAAACAAUAACUACAGCGUCAGCAACAAAACAGAACCAGGGAUCCCGUGACAGCCUUCUCAGCUGAGACGGGAAGGGAUGGAGGAGAGGCUUUGUUUCACAAACCCCCUCAGGCAGUCAGUCCCAGUGCUCCUGCAGGGCUCUGAGGAACACUUGGCUGGAACAGCAGGGAUG